CCGAGCGUCGCACGGUGAGAGUGAAAACCCAAAGCCGCUGAAAUUAGGUUGAAUUGGCUUUAGGGUUUGGACAGGUCCCAUCGACCUUUCUGUUCAUGAAUUCGGUCCGCUCCGUUCGACCCCGAUUUGCAAGUUGGUUUUGGUGAUCCGGUGACACGCUGUGCGGCAAUCCAUCUGCUCGAAGGAAGUUGUUCCAAAAGAAGUAGUCAUGUUUCUCGGAGGUAUACCACGAAGGCCAGACAAGGCUGAGGCCCACAAGACGCUCAAAAAGCAUCUCACUUACCUUGGCCUGUGGAUAUGUGCUAUCCGGGCAACACCCUAUAUCUUUGCGCUCAUCUCAAAGCAAGAUGAGUCGCUUGAGCUCGACUUUGAUUAGAAUUGAUUCCUGAAAAAGGAUGAUACAGCUUUUAAGGGAGGUGUACCUUGUGAACAUAUGAGACCUGCUAAUGCCACGUUGAGAAACAGUGGACAAUGAGGCGGCAGAGGACAUUGUAUUCGUGCUUUUGUGCUUUUCUCACUGUUGUUACUGACAUUACACUGCUAGAUGCUUCUGGCUGAUUGUAACUUAGCUCAUUCAUGCCCUAUGGCCUCUUUCGAUGAAGUCCUUUAGUUUGUACUUUUAGGACUGAACUUUUAAUUCUGAGCAAGUUAACAUUGUUCCUUUAUCUUUA
Molecule: non-coding RNA, 671 nt
Organism: Physcomitrium patens
Lineage: Eukaryota; Viridiplantae; Streptophyta; Bryopsida; Funariales; Funariaceae
Source: RefSeq, a predicted model, not a curated record